GUAGUUAGCCGUGGCUUCCUCCCCGGGUACCGUCAUUUGUUUCGUCCCCGAGGACAGAGGUUUACAAUCCGAAAACCUUCUUCCCUCACGCGGCGUCGCUGCAUCAGGGUUUCCCCCAUUGCCCAAUAUUCCCCACUGCUGCCUCCCGUAGGAGUCUGGACCGUGUCUCAGUUCCAGUGUGGCCGAUCAGCCUCUCAGCUCGGCUACCCAUCGUCGGCAUGGUGGGCCGUUACCCCGCCAUCUACCUAAUGGGACGCGAACCCCUCCUAAAGCGAUAAAUCUUUGACCCCUCCCUGAUGCCAGGCUGUGGUCUCAUGCGGUAUUAGCACCGAUUUCUCGACGUUAUCCCCCUCUUUAGGUCAGGUUGUUCACGCGUUACUCACCCGUCCGCCGCUAAUCCACUCCCGAAGGAGCUUCAUCGCUCGACUUGCAUGUGUUAAGCACGCCGCCAGCGUUCGUCCUGAGCCAGGAUCAAACUCUGA
Molecule: ribosomal RNA, 482 nt
Filed under: uncultured bacterium
Lineage: Bacteria
Description: partial 16S ribosomal RNA
Source: RNAcentral